This 253-nucleotide ribosomal RNA is filed under the name uncultured bacterium. Its description in RNAcentral is "partial 16S ribosomal RNA". It matches the Rfam family "Bacterial small subunit ribosomal RNA", at positions 524 to 776 of the family's 1533-position model. The record is from RNAcentral.
UACAGAGGGGGCGAGCGUUAAUCGGCGUAACUGGGCGUAAAGGGCACGUAGGCGGUUAUAUUAGUCUGAUGUGAAAGAACUGGGCUUAACCUGGGAUGUGCAUUGGAAACGGUAUGGCUAGAGUAUGGGAGAGGGAAGUGGAAUUUCCGGUGUAGCGGUGAAAUGCGUAGAGAUCGGAAAGAACACUCGUGGCGAAGGCGGCUUUCUGGCCCAAAACUGACGCUGAGGUGCGAAAGCGUGGGGAGCAAACAGG